Vespa velutina is the source of this 7746-nucleotide long non-coding RNA. RefSeq lists it as uncharacterized. Lineage: Eukaryota; Metazoa; Arthropoda; Insecta; Hymenoptera; Vespidae. The transcript is spliced from 9 exons. The record is from RefSeq and is a predicted model, not a curated record.
UCUUCUCUUGCCUGCAGGAGUUUUGAGUUUUUUCGAAUUCGGUCACUUGGCUGUGGUGGCUGCUGUCUUUAGGUGGUUUCAUAGCAUAUGCCGCAAUGGGCGAGAUAGCAUAGAUACUGGCACCCUACGGGUAUUCACUUUUAUACUAUACUGUUCCAUCAUGGCUGCGAUAUGGGUCUAACGUUUUGCCGUGUGCUCCGCGUUUUGUGAAAAUUUUUCAGAUUUACUUUAUUUUGCAUGUGAAAAAUUUAUAUCUCACUCGUUAAUUAGAGUGCAAUGAAUAAAGUGAGAUAAUAAUCAAUAUUGGGGAUUGAUUAAUUACUCUGUAAUUAGUGAAAAAUGUGCUCAGUAAUUUUGUGCAGGUUAUGUUCGUUUUUGCGGAAAUGGCAUUUUAUAUUCUAUGGACAAACGGUGGAUUCAAGUGAUAACUUCAGUUGCAAGACGGAAGUGGAUUUGCAACUAGUCACGCCGUACUGUGAUUGGCUGUUAGAUUGGACAACAAUAAUUUAUAGUGUUAGGAGUGCAUAUUAUUUAUUUUUCGACAGUUGGCGCACAUGCGUCACUCAUAACAUCAAGUCAUAAAAGCGCGGGAAACGUACUUAACUUCAGGCAUGGCUCUACAAACCUUGUCGCCCGAGGCUUCAGGCACGGCUCUACAAACCUUGUCGCCUGAGGCUUCAGGCACGGCUCUACAGACCUUGUCGCUUAUGAUGAGUUCCACUAAAAGUACAAGUCUCUACCGGUUUCUCUACCAUUGCUCUUAUUUUGGAUUUGCGUGCGCCAACAGCUAUUCACGGUGCUUCAUCGUCCUUCUAUUUACAGAUUUCGAGGGUGACCAUUGUACGAAACUUUCUCUUCGUGACAAAUAUGAAAAACAGCAUUUAUACCAAUAAUGAGAACAAGAGUGUUACUGUAUGAAACUUUUUCGCAGCGAAAAAUAUGAAAAACAGUAUUUAGACCAAUAAUGAAAACAGGCGUAAUUCUUAAGCAUAGUUUUGAUGAACCCGGAGCAUGAAAUUACGACUAGUAAAUUUAUAUAGUGGAGAAAUAAAUUGAUUGACACGGUUGUUGAUCAUGCAGCUAAGGAAGAGAAUUUGUUCUGUUUUAGAUUAUUAUUGCACAAUUUAUGGAGUCAUGGAUGAAUCAAUCUUUGUUUCGACAAAAUAAAAGAAGUGAAAUCAAUUUAGAGUUUUAUUGUUAAUUUGCAUUCGUUUGUAUUUUGUGAUUUCAAUAAAAUUUUAGAUGCAUGUGUACUUAAAUAGAUUGUUAACAAAGCAGUCAUUAAGUCAGUGUUUGUUCGUAUAAAGUUUUAUUAAUGUUUGUUUUUUGUUUUUUUACAGGUCGAUAGACUAUACUUUAUAUGUGAAACAUCCAAUUGAAUUAAAUUUAUUGUCUGUCUCUUGAUCAAUAAAUAAUUAUCGCGUAUUAAAGUCAAUGCACUAUGGAAGACGAUCAGGAAACUAGUAUAUUUCUUCUAUAGAACAAUAAUAUCAAUCUACUGCAACUUCAACCUACUUCAUUUUCAAUUUACUUUGAUGUAAAUCUAUCUUAUUUUUGACUUAUUACGAGUCAACCUACUCUAAUUUCAAUCUACAAUAAGGAUGAAUGUUUUGGAUCGUGGAAUUUCUUAAAUAAAUUUAGGACAUUCUGAGAGAAUGUGACUCGUAAGUAUUCCAGAUUAUUUAAAUUUUGGUGGAGUCAGGAAAGUUUUCAGGAAAACUGUUCCCUGGUGAUAACAAAUAUUACAGAUAAUUGCAUCUUAAGGCGCGACUUUUAUGAAAGAUAGAUUUGAUGAAGCUAUUAGGGAAAAUUCUAGGAACUUCUCGAUAGAGCAAGAAAAGGAUUUUCCAAAAUUCCUUCAAGAAUUUUCAAAAGAAUUCGCAAGAAAUUGCGGAAUUGUUGAACAUAUCAUAGACCUAACCGAUUCUCUAUAAAAUGAGUUUCUUGGAGGAUUUUUCAUUUGAAAGAAAAAAAGAGAAAGUUGACGAUACGCGUUUGGGUGUUGUUAGGAUUCCAAAAAAUUAGGUCGACGGCGUUAUAUCUGCAACAAGACGGACUUGAUUGAUCAUCUGGCAAAAUUCAUUAGGACCAGAAAGAUUAGGAUCAGUGGAUUCUAUUGUGUUAUUUAAUUUAUAGAUCCGCAAGGCAUAAGAUUUCAGCAAAAAUGUUAACUAGAAAUGACUUAAAAAUGCUAUUAGAUUUUCUUUGUUGUCCAUCCGUAUAAUAUAAAUAGAAAAUAUAAUAUAAAUAGAAAAGAGAGAUACACAUUAAAACUUAUGUCCCGAAGCUUAAUACGAAGCUAGACGAAAUACAUAGAACCAUAAAUAAGCGGAUAGAGAUGAAGUUUUGCUUGGAAAAAAGCUUAUUAAAGGAUCAGAAGGUAUGUUCAACUCUCAAUACAGAAGAAGCAGAACGAAGAAGUUCAAGAGCAAUUGGGAAAGCCCAUAUAAAAUUAUGAAGAAAAUCAACGAUGUGGAGUACACUUCGAAAAAAAAUCUUCGAGAAAGAAAUAAGAAAAUCUUUAAGAAAGAAAAAGAAAAUUGAUCAUGUAGAUAGUCUAAUGUUAAUAAAGGAACUAGGUAAAACGGUAGAAAAACGUAGAGACAAAUCUACGAGUGAUUAACACUUUUGCAUGAAUGAAGCGUCACAUGUUCUGACUUAGGUGUCUUUUCUAUUAGGGAUGGAAUCUGUCUUUAAUAGUUCCGAUCGUUGCGGAAGUUGAAAGAGAGGAUCAAACAGUCGAAGAAAGAAGGGAAAGGAUAGAGCACUCAAUUGGAUACUGCAAAUUCCUUGGGAUUUUUUAGGCCAUAGUUUUCUUUUUAAGUGAAGCGGAUUCAUGCUGCGGGUGAAUGCCACAAAUCGCUCAUCAGUUGGGAAAUGAUCAUGGCAGUCUACUACCUCCCCAUGCCAAUGGUAUUCCAAAUGAUGGAAAAAAUAAGUGGGAAAGAGUCUAAAAAAGGACCUCUGCCGGAGAUAAAACUAAGAGACGAAUUUUGCCGAAGUCCUUGAUGACUUGGUUAUUAGGACAAAGAAAUUGGAAAUACGAAUGAUUUAGCAAAUAAGCAGGUGUUGUCAAUAAGGAAUUCUAGAGCCGAAGGUUUGUGAUAUGGAGAAGUUAGCAGAAAACCUCUUAGUGAAAACUCUUAGUGCAAUUUUUAGUGUGAAAAGGACCAUAAUAAUUGACUCCAACAUUCGAGAAGGAUUUAGUCUUAUUCAUAUGAAUCUUGACCCUGAAUGUAAAUAGGAGGAGAUCUAUUUUCUUUAUUUGUUUUGGUGUUACCUGUUGGUAUAGCAUCGGUUUCAGAGAGUAUACUGUUGUAUGAGUUGUGAGUCUGUAUAUCUUGUAGCCAUAUUUCGAAUUGAUGAAACGUGUGUGAAUUUGACAUAUCUGUAAUUGUUUUAGAUUCCCUCUUUUUACUAGUAGAUAGAAACUCAACUCGGUAGAUUGAAGCGUUAGUGGACAUGUAGACAUCCUUUACUUCGUUAUUUGAUGUGUUUCGUAUGGAGUAGGUGUCUCCCAAUAUUGAGACUUUUAGGUUUAUUGGUGGCAUAUUUGAGCCAGCGACGAUACGAUGUACGCCUACUGUCUCACCGCGCCGAGAUAAUACAAGAGGUCGUUAAUGUACAAGAACUAUAAACAAAAACAAGUCACGAGUAAUAGGAAAUACGUCUAUCCUGUAAAAAUUUAGCGAAUAGAAUGAAACAAUAAAUAGAUACGUAUAGAUCAACUCGAUCAAUGCCCUCCCAUGUAAGUUGUGCUGCUGGCAACUGCAGUAUGCUUUCUAAUUCUAGACUUUUUGUAUCUCUUCAUAGAAUUCUUUUUGAAUCCAUUAUUCCAGCAUCAUUCCAAUUACUUAAAAGUUACACAAUUCUCUUGCCCUUCCAGGUUAAAAAUGUGAUUUUUCCUUUUUUAUAGAAACAAGUUUUCUUAUCCAAAAACUUGAAUAUUUUUCGUAAAUAUAUCCGAGUUCUUGUAAAUAUAUCCGUAAUAGGAAUUCUACUGUUAUGUUUAGUUGACCAAUAUAGAAAUAGGCAUUGUACAUAGAAUGUAUAUUGUAUUUUGAAUGAAUCAAUGAAAAUCCAAAAUUCAUCUUUACUUACAUCAUGUCAUGCUGGCCAUAUGGAGUCUUUAGUUAGAUUUUAGCAACUAUAACAAGAUAAAUAACAACAAUAACAAGAUUUUGCAUAGUUGUUUAUUUUCUUUAUUAUUUCAUCGACUAGCUGGUUCGUGAAAAACAGUUUGAAAAACUGAAUCGGUUCAAAAAUAUUAAAAGAUCUGUUACUUUUGAUCCUAUUGAAAAAUUUACUCUAAGUGGCAUGUAUCCAUUCUCUGUAAUACUGACCCAAUCAUCUUCCUUUGAGAUGCUUGCGUUAUUAUCAGUGUCAGAUUCAAUAGUCCCGUACCUUUCGUCUUCGAUAAAUUAUUAUAUCGCUGUCGUCAUUAUUGUUCUUAGUAUCACGUUUUUUUUAACGAAAUUAACGUGUAUUGUUCACCUGAGAAUCACUUGAAUCCUUAAGAUUUGUGAAAAAUAUUUUAUGGCAUAUCACAAUGGUUAUGCGUGUAAAUGGAAUUUAUCCUUAUAUUUGAUCGUUAUAAUGAGCGCUUUAUCUUCGUUAGUUUCCACCACGUGGAUGAGCUUCGUCUUGUCGUCAUUUCUAUCACACUGCAUUGUACUUGAGUGUUCUCAAUGGUAAGUGCUGCUGUUCGUAAUGAUGACGAUGGUGAUGAUGUUGUUGCUCUUGCUCUUAUUUUUGUUGUUGAACCUUCUCUGUGAUUGAAAAUAUCAGAAUGAAAAAAGAAUGUUUUCCCGAAAUAGAAUAGAAUUUUGCCUAGAAAUAGUCUCCGUGGAUUCUUCUCUAAUCUUGAACAAUGAGUGACAAAAUGGAAUAAAUUUGUCAUUGUGUUGGAAAACGUUUCGUUCAAUAAAUAAAAGCCUGAUGAUUCCUACUCAUCAUUCGAAUUUAAUCUUCUCAAAGUUCACAGAGUAACCUUUGUUUCUACAAUGCUUACAUCCUGCCUUUUUUGCUUGUGCUGACAUGAUCCUCUUUUCGCAAUCUCGAUAACGUACAAGUUUUAUUCUCAUUAUUCUCCUUUAAAAGUAGAUCAUCAGAAAGAUUUGUUUCCAAUGAACGAUCCUUCUUUUCUUUGCUAUUUAUUUUUUCCCACAUGUAGUAAUUCGCCGAAGGAGACGGAAUUGACGAUAAAAAUCCUCGGCGAAGAAGGAAGUUAAAAAGUUAAAUUUCUUUUGAAAUAAAUUGAUUGAGAAGAUUCUUUCGGACCCGUCGUUCUUAAUAUUCAAACUUAUAAAUUAAUGACCAUUUUGUUCGACCCUCAAAUGAGCUGACUCUUCAAGGAAGUCGGAAGAAAUUCUACAGAAUUUCUCGCAACUUGGACGUUCACAUUUACGAGAUGAUUUACUAAGAUAUCUCGUAAAUGUGAGCGUCAAGAUGUAUUGAGGAAUUUUUGUGAAUGAAAGUACUGUUUCCGUUAUUGCGAUAUUGCUCUCCCGCGAAGCCUUGAUUCACCAUCUGAAAUACAAGAAUCCAUUCGGUCAGUUUUCCAACUUAAUUUUAUCGAAAGAACGAAUUGAUUUGCCUCGAAUAAUUCGAUUAAGGUGCAUAAUUCUUAAUGCAGAACUCGAAGGUAAAGCGGAAGAUAAGUAUCGAUUCAAUAAGCCAGUUUAAAAUUAUACGUAUAAGUUUAUACGCAUUUCACAAGCGUAAAAGGUUUGCUUUUAAAUAUAAUUAAUGAUUUAGCGAGUUACGUUGUCCUUCGGAUUGCCUAUUAUUGUGUUACCGUUAAACGAUUAAUUUUUCUUCUCUUUGUUAACUCGAUUAGAAGUACUAAUGAAGUGUUCAUUUAAUGUGGAUAUUGAAGAGUCUGACGUUCCCAUGAUGAUCUGUAUGAUCGUUAAAUGGAUUAAUCACGAAGCAUUUACAAUUUUGACGAUUCGAUUUGAAUUACGUUUAUUAGCUUGUCCUCCUGUCAAUAUCUAUCGAAGUAAAAUUUAUUUAUGAAAAUGCAUUUUGAGUUGCAUUAAACAAAAGGAGAAAGAAAAAAAAAGCAGAAUUCUUUUAUCGUUUAUUAUUAUUAAAUUAUCUGCCCCUAGAUCCGGUUCUUAUUAGUCGAGGUCGUUCGCACCCUCUACUUGAUACUUCUUUAUCAAUUCGCUUUAUCUUUGAUGUCAUCUUUCGCUUCUUUAUCGCUAUCAUCUUUGUUCCCUUCAUUUAUUUCCGCAUGGAUUGAAAUAGCAUUAGAAAGAUUUAUUGGUGAUUCAUUGCCAUCAUUUAUAUCCAAUGCAAUUAAAGUGUCUGUUUUCAAAUCACGACUUAUAAUUGUACUAUUUGUAUUAUUAUCCAAAAGAUGAUGUAUUCUAGAAUUAUUGUCGAUACCAAUAUAUCUGUAUUCCUUAGCCUAGUUAUUCAUUUUUCUUCGGAAUUCCUUAGAUACAUAUAUGUAAACUUUGGAUCCAAAGAUGUGCAUGUAUUUAAGAUCUGGUUUCGUUCUAUCCAUCUUCAACAAUAUUCAAACACUUAACAGAUCAUAACUAUUUAAUAAUACACAAACUACAUUAUAACAAAUUUUUAAUAUUUUAUUGGUUAUUUCUUUUGUCAAAUUAUUGUUCUUAAGCGCGUGGGCAUAUUAGAAAAUAUUGCUUCUAAAUAAUUUUAUAGUAUACGCCCUCACUCUUGUAUUAAACGAGCUUUUAAGUAUACUUUCGCUUUUAUCGAUGUUAUUUUAAUGUUGCGAUUCAAUAGAUCCUAUAGGUUUUCAAUGGGAUUUAAGUCCGGCAACUGUAGAGGAAGAUGUAACAUUUUGGAGCAAUUAUAUAUUAAAUAUUUUUAAACGAUCCGAGAUUUGUGUUUCGUAUCAUUGUCCUGAUAAAAUUUAAAACUAUUACUUAUGCCCAUUUUAACUGCACUUUGUGUUAAAUUUUCUUUUAAAAUGUCUAAAUAUUUACUUUUAUUCAAAAUACCGUCGAUAAAAAUAAGUUUUCUUAUUCCAGUAGUUGAAAUGUAGCACCUUACAUUAACCUUCCGGCACCAUAUUUUAGAAUCGCUCGAAGAUUCUUUUUUUCGAAUUGUGUAUUAACUUUUCGCCACACUAAUUUUCGACAGCGAGAGUGAACGUGCAGCUCUCUUGAGAGACGUAUCAGCGAAACAAGCUAGAACAAAUAAUAGCGAAACAACAAAAUGACUGACGGGUCAGCGAACAUCAAACAGCUGUGACAUUAUUUCUUUUAUACUUUUACUUUUGUUAAAUAUUUCUUCAAUAUUUAACCAUUCGUUGAGAACAGCGUUUUUUUCUUCAGCAUUGCGCCGGCCUAUCAAUAGAAUAAAAUUUAACGUGCAAUCAAUUUUCAAUAACAUUAAUAAUAUUUUUCCCUACAAUUUGGGGCUCAACCAGGAUCUUGGAUUAGCAGGUAUGCAAUCAUGAAGAUACGUUUAUGCCUGAAACGUAAAUUUGAUUGUAUUUUAUGAUAACGAGUUAACAGCGUGAUGGAAGCGAAAGAUUUAUACAAGUUCACCGUGACGCAGUUUGAAAGAAAACCGUAAGAUUCUAGUACUUCCGACUAUGAAAUCUAAAAACGAAUUAAUGGCUAGACUGAUUGAACACGAUGUCAGUGAAGUGAGUGACGAUGCAACGCCUCCGCAAACGUAGUUUUCCGUGGAUCCGUUAAUCGGAGAAGAGAAUGGAACCGAAAGCGAAAUGGACUUGAUGUUACAACACAUCAAAUUGUUAAA